This 429-nucleotide ribosomal RNA is filed under the name Chloroflexota bacterium. Its description in RNAcentral is "Chloroflexi bacterium partial 16S ribosomal RNA". It matches the Rfam family "Bacterial small subunit ribosomal RNA", at positions 355 to 776 of the family's 1533-position model. Lineage: Bacteria; Bacillati; Chloroflexota. The record is from RNAcentral.
UGGGGAAUAUUGCACAAUGGGCGCAAGCCUGAUGCAGCCAUGCCGCGUGUGUGAAGAAGGCCUUCGGGUUGUAAAGCACUUUCAGCGGGGAGGAAGGCGUUAAGGUUAAUAACCUUGGCGAUUGACGUUACCCGCAGAAGAAGCACCGGCUAACUCCGUGCCAGCAGCCGCGGUAAUACGGAGGGUGCAAGCGUUAAUCGGAAUUACUGGGCGUAAAGCGCACGCAGGCGGUCUGUCAAGUCGGAUGUGAAAUCCCCGGGCUCAACCUGGGAACUGCAUUCGAAACUGGCAGGCUAGAGUCUUGUAGAGGGGGGUAGAAUUCCAGGUGUAGCGGUGAAAUGCGUAGAGAUCUGGAGGAAUACCGGUGGCGAAGGCGGCCCCCUGGGCAAAGACUGACGCUCAGGUGCGAAAGCGUGGGGAGCAAACAGG